Molecule: long non-coding RNA, 2300 nt
Organism: Polypterus senegalus (gray bichir)
Lineage: Eukaryota; Metazoa; Chordata; Cladistia; Polypteriformes; Polypteridae
Exons: 2
Source: RefSeq, a predicted model, not a curated record
ACGCUUCUGGCAUCUGGACACCUGGACUGAGAAGUUCAAGGCAUUUGUACAGCCUCUGAGUUGAUUCUUACGGUGCAGAGACCUAAAGUCAACGUAUUUUAAAUUUGAUAGCCUGAUUAUAACAGGGUUUAUAAAUCAUUCCUGAACAUCUACACAAACAACUGCUGCAUCCUCAACCACUGGUUUAGCAGUGCACAUCCAAGAAGGAGCCUACGCUUAAAUUGCAUGAGGAGAUCACAGGAGUUCUAGAAGGUCUGUGACUUUAGUAAUGUAAAUCAUUUGUGAAAAGCUCCUCCUGUAGCAGAAGAUCAUAGUUUGUAUGAUGUGUGUGGUUUCAGAACUAGUUAUAAGUGCCUAAGUGGUCAGUAGGAGUGUUAAAAUUGUUUCUUUUGUACCCUUUCAGGUGCUGGAGGGAAGCGCUGAGGAUAAAAAGAAAGGAAAACAUUAGAAAGCGAAAAGGUGCAUCCGAACAGCCGCAGGAAUGACCUGGGAAAAUCAGAGCCUCCUGGAAUGGGACAUUAAUGACUUUCGUAUUUUCUGUGGUUAUCUCGGCAAUGAGGUCAAUGAUGACAUCCUGGCUCGAGCUUUUAGCCGUUACCCUUCAUUUUUGAAGGCUAAAGUGGUACGAGACAAACGAACGGAAAGACCAUAGGGUACAGCUUUGUCAGCUUCAAGGAUCCUAAUGACUACGCAGCAUGCAAUGAGGGAGAUGAAUGGUAAGUGUAACCAUCUAUCGUGGAGCAGACGCCACGCACUCCAAAUAGCUCAGAGGCUUCAAGCAUCCACUGGGGAAUGGAGACCCUCAUAUUGCUAUCUGCCAUGUGUAUGGCUUUUGGUGUGUUAGUAAGCCAGAGCGAGUGACACUUGGCCAGUUACGCCAUACAGUGAAUUCUUGGACUGAGACAAUAAGACUCCAGCAUUUGUGUCUCAACGUGUUUGAAUUUUUGAGCAGGCGAUCGUUCCAUAAAUUGAGUUUGUUUUUGUGUAGCGCCGUUUGCAGAGUACAAAAUUGCAGGACUAUAAGAAGUCCACAGGUGAAAUGCUAUUACACAAUUUAUCAAUUACCGAAUCCACACGCCUAUAGACACAGAUUAGUAGGACAAAGUGUAUACAAGCUGGUUAACGUAAGUAAAUCCUAACAAGAAUUGUCUGUCUGUUAAUGUUACUCACUGUGCACAAUAAAUCUCUUGUGGAUAGGCAGGCGUCUGUCUUCAGCCGUAACAAAGUCUAACGUGGUCAUAGUCCUGGGACCCUUUCCAGUGGGCUGCCCAACCCAUCCUGAUCAUUCUGCAAUAUAACUCUGUGCCUGGCCAUUCAAUCUGAUGACAGAAUCUCUCUGGUACCUCAGAUGACUUUCCAUGGGCAGAACAGCUUGGCACUAGAGCACUGGAAACCGGGAGACCACAGGAUACCAAGGUGUAGUGACCGCUCAUAAUGAUUGUGCCACUUACAUAAAUGACUUAUAAACAGAGAUGCAAUAUGCACAGCCAGCCAGCAGCUCAAAUCCAGGUGUGCCUGACUAAAGUUUUGAGACCAAAGGGGCAUCUCCUAAGCGAGAAGGCGAAGUGUUCAAAGAUGGAAGCUUUACUGACUCGUGGGAGUCCCACCAGGGUUAGGGUUUCCACAUUUCAUCUUUUAUUGACAAUAUCAGAGUCUUAUGCGUGUGGCACAUUUAAAUAAAUGAAUGGGUUUGAUUGCUUCAUUCACUUACAUUUUGUCUCAUUUUAUGUUAUUUUAUAGGUAAAUAUGUUGGGAGCCGUCAAAUCAAACUACUUAAAAAGUAUGUGGAAGGACAGAAACCUUGAGGUGGUCCGGAAAAACAGAAAGAGAAAAAAGAAGCUUGGACUGAGAUAGUCGUAUGGGAGAGACUUGUGAAUGGGGAAAAAGCAGAAAAUAACAGAGCUGGAGCAUGAAGACGUGAAUGAGGAGCCGCUGCUGAUGUCAUGCCAUACAUUUGUUUACCAUGCAGACACCUUCUGAAUUUAAAUUAUGCAAUAUGUUUUAAAAAUGGCCCCCUCAUGAAGACCACAGAAACAGUCUGUGGUUUUGUAAAAUACUCCAGUCGCGUGUUGGCCGUCGAGUAGCCCCGAAGCGUCUGGGCGGCGUCGAUGAUAAUAAUGCAGUUCAACUUGGCAGACAUCAACGCUGCGUGAUCGAAGGACGAUUUCUAAAGGGGUUUGUUCUGAAUGCUCCUUCACUUUGUGAUGGUGUCAUCUUUAGGAUUCCCCUUUAAAUGUUUAUAUAACGUUCUGCACUGUUUGAAGUGAAUAUAAUUUGUGUAUAAAAAGUUGAAUUCUGCU